Taeniopygia guttata (zebra finch) is the source of this 1809-nucleotide non-coding RNA. Lineage: Eukaryota; Metazoa; Chordata; Aves; Passeriformes; Estrildidae. The record is from RefSeq and is a predicted model, not a curated record.
AUAAGAGCUUUUUACUCUCUGCCUUUCCCUCUGCUACAGGGAACAAAACCAAUUUCCAACAAUACUGCUCUUGUAUCAUCCUUUUUUUGCUUUGCUUCACAAGAAACUUUAUUAAUUCACUUUUAUGCUUUGCUUUUUCUUCAUGUCAAUGACAGUACCAAUAGUAUUUCCUGAUUUUACAACUGCCUGAGUAACAGAAGCAUGAGACACACAGGCAGGACUGAGGCACACCCACCAGUGACCCCUGCCUUCACUCCUACCUGUAGACCACAGAAAGAAACAGGCAAUUUUAGAAGGAAUGGCAUGCCAACAUAUUUUUUAAUACAAAAUGUCCAGGCUGUAGAGGCACCUACUCAGAGGUGAAUACAGCAAGCAGGAAAAAAUAACAGAAGACAACACGGACAGGAGCAGAUGGCAAUAUAGGGAGGAGAAAACCCCAAAACAACAAACCAACCACAAAAACCAAGAGAUGAUUAACAAGUCAUCCAUGAACAUUUGCUAUCAGUACCUGUGAACCAACCACAAACCAUAAAUAAGAAAGAACAUACAAACUUCAGACCAGAACAAUAACCUUGUCUCAUCUGAUAAACGUGACUGGAGUUUGUGGUUUUCAUCUACUUUCUUAGAAAAAACUAAAAAGCAAUUUUUAAAAAAGGAAGGUAUCCACACACAGUGUGGGAGGCAGGAGAAUGGCCAUGAGCUGAUGUGAUAGCUGCUGGCUCUUGAAAGGGAAAUGGAAGAAGGCACAAGAACAGCAGCACUGACAUCACAGAGGCAAAAGAGCCAUCAGUGCUACAGCACUGGAGGGGUCUACUGUAGCCAGGGACUCAGCACAGUUCUCAGGCAGAGGGGCCUUUGGAAAUGCAAGACUGUUUUUUGACAAAUGAAUUGGAAACCAGCCUAUUCAUCCUGUAUAAUAAACAGCAAAUGCUGGAGGGUAUUUAACAUGCAAAGGGCACACACCACAGAUUGCCAUGCUCACUGCAUGACAGCCACUGAGGAAACUCAUUGGACACAGACUCCACAUUCCUCGUGGAAGGGAAGAAAUGUCAUUUAAGGCUACAUAUCUGAAAUCUUUUAAUUUAAUAGCAAAUAAUUUUUACAUCUGAAUGAAUAACCAUAUUCACACGAGACUAAAAAAUUGUGAAGAGCAGUCACCAUCCAAAUGUUUGUGGCAGUCCAAGUAUCCAUGAGUGGCUGAUACCAAAAGGCUGCAGUAAGCCUGGGAUGAGCCAUGGCAGCACUUCCCAGCAAAGUUUAAGUCCAUUCAUGAAGUUAGUGACGGAUCAUUAUUCUGAAGCAGGAGCAGACUCAGAACAAACUGCACUGCCAGGUGAUACACUCACUCAAGGCGAAAUCACCAACUAAUUUGUCCUUCUAAAAAUAAAGAGGAACUCAAACAGGAAUUAAACAUAUAGCUGCUUCAUUUUUCAGGAUCUGGAAUUAUAUUGCCUGACUCUACAGGGGGAAGUAGUUGUCUUUAUAAUUCAGUCCUACUUUGUCUGGGUAUUGUGAACAAUAGUAAUAACAUAUCUGUUUCAAAGUACUCCAGGAAAAAUUCUUCAGAGGAUUUACCAUUUAAUAGUGAGAUUAUGAUACACUUACCAUUACAGAAUAACAUCCUCUUUUUGUAAUCCAAUUGGAUUUUAAUAGCUUUGUUGGAAGACUUGUGAGAUGUGUCAGGUACAGCAGGAUAUCGUAAUCUGAUCCUUAGCUUCUAUUACGUGUGUUAAGCAGUGUGGAUCAUCUCAACUGAACAUAUCAGAAAGUUUCUCCUUGAUAUUCAGACAUGUUUUUAUAUGUUCCUUU